CAGCUAUUUUAAAACAUAACUAUAUAUGUUUUAGUACUACAAAGUUAUCUUCGGGAUGAAACUUCAUAUUUUCAUCAUGUUGGUGGUGACUGCGGCGUUGUCUUCAGCGAAUUCUUCAGCUGACUCCCAAGAGGAGUCGGUAAAGGAGUCUUUACCGGACUGGGAGUCCGCUUACAGCCGUCACCCCUUCAGAAUCCUUCGGCUAUCCGACUCUUUAUAUGACCAUUAUCCGCCCGUCAUCGACCCUGGAUUUGCUCCUAAUUUUCUCUAUCCUGGCUACAAAUACCUUAGACCGCGCGAUAGAUACAAUCAGCUUUAUGAAUUGAACCGCAAUAAAUAAAUAAAACAAAUUAAUGUCA
This is a long non-coding RNA of Danaus plexippus (monarch butterfly), 359 nucleotides long. RefSeq lists it as uncharacterized. Lineage: Eukaryota; Metazoa; Arthropoda; Insecta; Lepidoptera; Nymphalidae. The transcript has 2 exons. The record is from RefSeq and is a predicted model, not a curated record.